This 909-nucleotide ribosomal RNA is filed under the name Amanita brunneofuliginea. Its description in RNAcentral is "eukaryotic LSU rRNA". It matches the Rfam family "Eukaryotic large subunit ribosomal RNA", at positions 65 to 937 of the family's 3401-position model. The record is from RNAcentral. Lineage: Eukaryota; Fungi; Basidiomycota; Agaricomycetes; Agaricales; Amanitaceae.
CUAACAAGGAUUCCCCUAGUAACUGCGAGUGAAGCGGGAAAAGCUCAAAUUUGAAAUCUGGCAGUCUUUUUUUUCUUCUUUGGCUGUCCGAGUUGUAAUCUAGAGAAGUGCUUACCUGCACUGGACCAUGUAUAAGUCUCCUGGAAUGGAGCGUCACAGAGGGUGAGAAUCCCGUCUUUGACAUGGACCGCCAGUGUGUUGUGGUGUGCUCUCAAAGAGUCGAGUUGUUUGGGAAUGCAGCUCUAAAUGGGUGGUAAACUCCAUCUAAAGCUAAAUAUUGGCGAGAGACCGAUAGCGAACAAGUACCGUGAGGGAAAGAUGAAAAGGACUUUGGAAAGAGAGUUAAACAGUAUGUGAAAUUGUUGAAAGGGAAACGCUUGAAGUCAGUUAUGUUGGCUAGGGAUCAACCUAGCUGUUUUUUGCUGGGUGAAUUUCCUAGUCUGACAGGCCAACAUCAGUCUUGACUGCUGGAAAAGAGCAGAGGGAAUGUGGCACCUUUGGGUGUGUUAUAGCCUUUUGUCAUAUGUGGCAGUUGGGACUGAGGGAUGCAGCAUGCCGCGAGGCUGGGUUUCUGACCACGUUCAUGCUCAGGAUGUUGGCUUUUAAUGGCUUCAAUCGACCCGUCUUGAAACACGGACCAAGGAGUCUAACAUGCCUGCGAGUGUUUGGGUGGGGAAAACCCUUGUGCACAAUGAAAGUGAAAGUUGAGAUCCCUGUCAUGGGGAGCAUCGACGCCCGGACCUGAGCUUUUAGCGACGGAUCCGCGGUAGAGCAUGCAUGUUGGGACCCGAAAGAUGGUGAACUAUGCCUGAAUAGGGCAAAGCCAGAGGAAACUCUGGUGGAGGCUCGUAGCGAUUCUGACGUGCAAAUCGAUCGUCAAAUUUGGGUAUAGGGGCGAAAGACUAAUCG